RNAcentral lists this unclassified non-coding RNA (22 nucleotides) under Mus musculus (house mouse). RNAcentral describes it as "oocyte_clustered_small_RNA1125". The record is from RNAcentral. Lineage: Eukaryota; Metazoa; Chordata; Mammalia; Rodentia; Muridae.
UCUGAAUCUGCGAAGUCGUUGU